UACGGGGGGUGCGAGCGUUGUCCGGAAUCACUGGGCGUAAAGGGCGCGUAGGUGGUUUGAUAAGGGUGUGGUGAAAGUCCGGAGCUCAACUCCGGAUCUGCCGUGCCGACUGUCAAACUCGAGGGCUGUAGAGGCAGACGGAAUUCCGGGUGUAGCGGUGGAAUGCGUAGAGAUCCGGAGGAAGACCGGUGGCGAAGGCGGUCUGCUGGGCAGUUUCUGACACUGAUGCGCGACAGCGUGGGAGCAAACAGG
Molecule: ribosomal RNA, 252 nt
Filed under: uncultured bacterium
Lineage: Bacteria
Description: partial 16S ribosomal RNA
Rfam family: Bacterial small subunit ribosomal RNA
Source: RNAcentral